GUCUACGGCCAUGUCACCCUGAACAAGCCCGAUGUCUGAUUUUGGAAGUUAAGCAGGGUUGGGCCUGGUUAGUACUUGGAUGGGCGACCACCCAGGAAGACCAGGUGCUGCUGUAG
Molecule: ribosomal RNA, 116 nt
Filed under: Pteropus alecto (black flying fox)
Lineage: Eukaryota; Metazoa; Chordata; Mammalia; Chiroptera; Pteropodidae
Source: RNAcentral